CUCUGUUUCGGGGUUGAGGAAUGACUUCAGGACAUAAGUGGGCAGACUAGAAUGCCAUCUGAACAGCCUCUUUUAUCACUCAACAGCUAAAGGGCUCUGUGGCAGGCCCCAGAACAGAUACGGUUUUGGUUUCAAAGUAAGUCAUAAAAUCACUGAAAAGGGCUGAACUUUUGAAGUGGUUUUUUAGAAUGGAGAGUAAGGCAGUUAAAGAAGGGAAGAGUAUUAUUUUCAAUCA
Molecule: long non-coding RNA, 235 nt
Filed under: Bos taurus (domestic cattle)
Lineage: Eukaryota; Metazoa; Chordata; Mammalia; Artiodactyla; Bovidae
Description: long non-coding RNA NONBTAT014231
Source: RNAcentral